GCUUCCCUCUUUCUUCGUGCCUAAUACAUGCAAGUCGAGCGAACAGACGAGGAGCUUGCUCCUCUGACGUUAGCGGCUGACGGGUGAGUAACACGUGGAUAACCUACCUAUAAGACUUGGAUAACUUCGGGAAACCGGAGCUAAUACCGGAUAAUAUAUUGAACCGCAUGGUUCAAUAGUGAAAGACGGUUUUGCUGUCACUUAUAGAUGGAUCCGCGCCGCAUUAGCUAGUUGGUAAGGUAACGGCUUACCAAGGCAACGAUGCGUAGCCGACCUGAGAGGGUGAUCGGCCACACUGGAACUGAGACACGGUCCAGACUCCUACGGGAGGCAGCAGUAGGGAAUCUUCCGCAAUGGGCGAAAGCCUGACGGAGCAACGCCGCGUGAGUGAUGAAGGUCUUCGGAUCGUAAAACUCUGUUAUUAGGGAAGAACAAAUGUGUAAGUAACUAUGCACGUCUUGACGGUACCUAAUCAGAAAGCCACGGCUAACUACGUG
This 497-nucleotide ribosomal RNA is filed under the name uncultured bacterium. Its description in RNAcentral is "partial 16S ribosomal RNA". It matches the Rfam family "Bacterial small subunit ribosomal RNA", at positions 36 to 507 of the family's 1533-position model. The record is from RNAcentral.